Molecule: non-coding RNA, 3313 nt
Organism: Leptonychotes weddellii (Weddell seal)
Lineage: Eukaryota; Metazoa; Chordata; Mammalia; Carnivora; Phocidae
Source: RefSeq, a predicted model, not a curated record
UAGAACUUCUCUCAAUUUGGAUUUGUCUGAUGUUUUUCUCAUGAUUGGACUGGAAUUUUGUAUUACUGGGAGGAAGACCACAGAGGUAAAGUGCCAUCGUCAGCACAUUACACCAAGGUUCCCUGAUGACAAAUGAGGCUGAACAUCUUCUUAUGUGCUUAAUUUCCCUAUGUGUAUUUUCUUUGAUGUCCAAUUGUUGCAACACCAUUUGUCAAACACACUAUCCAGAGUCCAAUGAUGAUCUUAGUCUUCCAGCCUCCAGAACUGUGAGCAAUAAAUUUCUGUUGUCUAUCAGUCACUCAGUCUGUGGUAUUUUGUUCCACACCUUGAAUGGAUUAAGGUAAUGUACAUCCAAGUUUCUGACAUAUCAUUUUCCUCCUCCCCGAAGAACUUUUUUUAUUUCUUGCAGGGCAGGUCUGCUCGUGAUAGAUGCCCCCAGUUUUUGUUUGUCUGAGGCAGUCUUUAUUUCUACUUCAUUUUUAAAGUACAAUUCUACUGGAUAUAGAAUUCUAGAGUUUUCUCCCCAAACACUUUAAAUACUAUAUUCUCUUCCUGCUCGCAAGCUUUCUGAAGAGAAGUUAUUGAAAUUUGUACUUUUUUUCUCUAUACAUAAGGUGUUUGCUUUCAUCUGGAGUCUUCUUAGAUUUCUCUUUGUCUUUGGUUUUCUGCAAUUUGAAUACAAUCUGCCUGGGUGGGAUUUUGUUUUGUUUUGUUUGUUUUAAGCAUCCUGCUUUGUGUUCUCUGUGCUUUUUGAUCUUUGCUUUGGUGUUUGUUCUUAAUCUUGAAAAGUUCUCAGACAUUAUUACUUCAAAUAUUCUACUCUAUUCUCACUUCUUCUGAUGUUCCAAUUAUGCCUGUAUUAUAUCUUUUGAAAUAGUCCUACAGUUUCUGGAUUUCUGUUGUGUUUUCUCCCCCUUUUGUUUUCUCUCUGCAUUUUGGUUUGUGAAGUUUUUAUUGACCUUUCUUCAAGUUUGCUGAUUCUUGCCUUGGCCAUGUCUAGUCAAUAAACCCCUCAAAGGGAUUUUUCAUAUCUGUUAUAGUGUUUUUGAUUUCUAACAUUUCCUUUGGAUUUUUCUUAGAGUUUCCAUUUCUAUGCUUACGUCACCCAUCUGUUCUCGCAUAUUGUCUACUUUUUUCAUUCAACCUUAACAUAUUAAUCAUAGUUAUUUUAAAUUCCCCGCCUGAUAAUCCUAACUCAAUUAUAUCUGAGUGUGGUUCUGAUAUUUACUUUGUUUCUUCAGACUGUGGUUUUUUUCUUGCUGUUAGCAUGCUUUGAAUUUUUUGUUGAAAAUGGAACAUGCUGUAUCAGGUAAUAGGGACUGAGGUAAACAGGCGGUUAGUGUGAGGUUUUUUGCUAAUCUGCUAAGAAUCAGGCUGUAUUUAAUGUUUGCUGUAGCUGUAGGUGCCAGAGGCUUCAAAUUCUUGGAAUGUCCUUGUUUCUGUUUCCCUUUUGUCUUUGGGCUUCCUUAAGUACUGCUCCUCAGACAGCGUCUGGACCUUGAGACUCUUUCAUCUGUGACGCACUGUUAUACUGGAAUGCUGUUGGUGCCAUGGUAAGGUGUUGGGGGAGCAUUCUAUACUCUUAUGGUUAAGAUUCUGUCUUUCAGUGGGCCCAUGUCCUUGAGCUGUGAUCCGCACUGGUUUGUCUUAGCUUUUUUCCUACUCCCUUGGUGAGACAGGAAGGAUAGAGAACAGAUGCUAGAGUUUAACAAGUGUCCUUUCUCCAAGUGGGAUAAAUUUUGGUAAGAUCUUUUCACCUGGGGCAUCACCUUUGUUAUGGAUGCCACUCUGGACGUAUUUAACAAUGAUUAUUGCUCCUCUUUUCCAAACAGAGCCACCUGACUAUGAGAAGCUGGAGGGAUUCAUGGAGGUAAAAUCCACAAAAAUGUGGGGGCCUAAGACUAGAGCCCUAGGAAUUGGAAUUUAUGCUAGUCUACACUCAGCCUCCAGCAAUUUGUCAAAAUUACCAUUUAAGUGUUCCUGCCAGUUAACAGUUCCAGUGGCUUCUGCUCAAGACAUUUAACGUUGCCAUCCUUAGGACAACAGGGAUUCUUGUGGGGCAAAACACAAAUCGCCACAGGUGCCUGCUGCCCUGCCCCAUGACUUGACAUGCAGGGUUCAGAUGCCUGACUCCAACCCUCCCGUUUCUCAGGAUGCCACCCAGGUGCAGAGGAUGACAACAUUCCUUGGACAUCAUCAUAUAGAUGACUCUGGAGCCAAGAUGGGAUUACUCACGGAGAUUUUACAGAGGAGAAGAUUGAUCCCAGAACUUGGAAGAACAUUUACAUUUAAGCGAUGUCACUAAAGGUAAAGCGUUUUUGAGAGAAGCAUCAUGAAAGCCAGAGAAGCAUCAUGAAAGCAUCAUGAAAGCCAGAGAAGCAUCAUGAAAGCAUCAUGAAAGCAGAGAAGCAUCAUGAAAGCAUCAUGAAAGCCAGAAAACCAUCAUGGCUGCCAGACCACGAGACUCUUAGAGAAGACAGAGAGUGGCGACGUUUGCUGUGCUCACCCUCCUACCCACCAGCGGUGCCCAUCCUGAGCAUGUGUCUGUAUCUCUCCCCACAACCAGCUGCCCAUCUUCAACAACUGGCUGUGGCACCUUUUAGGAUUUUCCCUGUCCUACUCCAUGUUAGAUCAUGACUAUUUUGACUUCUAUUUUCAUUGUGAAGUAGGAGCUGAACUAGUUGCCUGAGACAGAUGGAAGAUGGGGCGUACUAUGGAAUUUGAGGUUUAAAAUACCAAAUCCCAAUUUUACUCUCUGAGAGAAGAGCCUCCACGGCAAAGGCUCUAAGAGAGAGAACUGCUGGCUUGUUGGAGGAGUUGCAGGGAGGUCAGGGUGGCCAGAAGGGGGUAAGGGGGGGCACAAGGUGGGCUCACAGAGGGAGCUUGGGGUUAGAUCCUGUGGAAGGGGGUUACAGUGCUCUAGGGGAGGCCUGUCUAGGGCAGUGAAGGGAGGCAGUAAGGAGAAGUCAGAUACAGGCUCUAUCUCAUCUCAAAUAAUUUGUAGAUGGACCCAUGUGAGGUCUGAGAUGAGGCCGGGAUGGUGCCGAGGACUCCAGCAUGAGUAGCUAAUUGGAUGAUGGUACCAUUACUGAGCCAGGAAAAGGUUAACAAAGUAGAUGAAUCUCUAACAAGAGUGAUCAAGAAAAAUAGAGAAGAUGCAAACACACACGAUAUAAGCAAGAGAUACAAGUAAAAUCAGUUUUUUUAAUGUUAGAAGAAAAUUUUAAGCAACCGUAAGUCAAUAUAUUACAAACUAAGGUAAGAUGAAAAAUGUUUGGAAAAGAAUAUAAAAUUGGUAAAAUAUAAAUUAAAA